Molecule: long non-coding RNA, 3592 nt
Organism: Dermochelys coriacea (leatherback sea turtle)
Lineage: Eukaryota; Metazoa; Chordata; Testudines; Dermochelyidae
Exons: 2
Source: RefSeq, a predicted model, not a curated record
AAUUAACAAGCAAUCGGUUUAAAACAAACAUAAGGAAAUAUUUCUCCACACAAUGAACAGUCAACCUGUGAAACUCGUUGCCAGAGGAUGUUUUGAAGGCCAGAAGUAUAACUGGAUUAAAACAAUAGGUAAGUUCAUGCCAGAUAGGUACAUUAAUGGCUAUUAGGCAAGACUGUCAGGGACACAACAACCCCAUGCUCUAAGUGUCUAUAAACCUCUGACUGCCAAAAGUUGUGACUAAAUGAUUGGACGUAUCACUCAAUAAAUUGCCCUGUUCUGUUCAUUCCCUUUGAAGCAUAAGGCACAGACCUUGUUGGAAGACAGGACACUGAGCUACAUGGACCAUUGGUCUGACCCAGUAUAGCCAUUCUUAUGUUUUCAGAAAAGGGUGGGUGCAAUUCUCCAUGCAAGGGCAAAGCACUGUUAUUACAGAUGCAGGAAACUGAGGCACAGCUGGGUUCUCCUCUAUAUUUACCGCAAGGUACUUGGCACACAGCGGAGCCAAAAAUAUUAAAAACAGAUUCUUCCAGACCCAAGGAACUCACAUGGCAUCCAAAAGGAUCUGCACCAUCUCCAGAUCCGGCACAUCAAAAUGCAACAAUGGGUGGGGGAGGAGGGAAAAAACAGGCUCCAGAAAGAGUUUGGCUGGAUCAAUAAUGGCAGAGUUCCCUCAUCUCCCAUUGUUUACAUGGGCAAUUCUGGGUGACCAGCAACUGAGAAAAUCGGGCUACUUAGGAUGCUUAACUUUAGACAACCAUGCUUUAAAAUGUUGUCACUACUAUAUGUAAAGUAGCAGAAUGGGAUAAAUAUGACUGAAGAUAAUGAAGUAAACUCAUAAGCUACCAAAUUUUAAAAUGCAUUUAUUAUUUAAAUGAUCUCCUGAUCUUAAAAAAUUGUGAACAAACAAAAUGGUCUUUACUGAGAGAAAGAAAAGAGGUAUCAAUAUAAAGCUGACAAUUAAUUUUCCAGUAACCAAUUUAGAUCAAGAAUAUUUGUCAUAACAGAUUUACGCACUGAAUGUAUAAAGCCUAAACUGGCAUAUAAAUAUGAAUCAAAUGCAUCACCUAAAUUUCUGCAUCAAUAAAAAAUAUAUUUUCAAGACAGGCUGAGAUAUAUGAGCAGAGUCAAUGCUCCUUACACCCCUGAGAGGAAGAAAAAAAUAUGUUUAUAUUAAUUUUUACUUGAAAUAAUCUCUGUUUGAUAGGGACUGUGACGCUAACAGACCAGGUACUGGCUCAUGCCAAGGCCCCAGGCCUCACUGAACUUACAAUUGCAUAGCUGGAAACCAGUCUUGUUUACUUAUGUUAGCAUCCUCGGAUGCUGUUUAGACUUUAUAAAAUGCUUGUGGGAUGCUGCAUGCAUUAAUCUAAUUUAUAAUCUCUAUAACCCAGGGUAUAAAUGUAUAUAGAAUAUAUCAGCACACAGCUGUGGCUCAUUGUAAAUCUCUAACUGUAUAACUCAACAAAACAGGAAAAUAGCAUUGAUUAAAGUAAAGUACUCCUCCUGCAUACAAGAAUGGCCAACUGAAAGCAAUUGAAAUAUUGCAUAGCAUCAAAGAACAGAGACUUUGUUGAUUCCAUUCCUAACUCGUGUCUCUUUUCAGUCCAUGAUUUUUACUGUCUAGCAAAGUUAUAAAUUUAAGCUCCCAGGCUCAUCUUUUGAGUGUCUUGUGUAGGUUUCCUUUGAGGUGAGGACUGAUAGGUGAGAUAUAGAGUGAUCAUUUUGUGAAAAGUGUUCACCUACUGGUGAUGUGGUGUUUUUGUCUUUUAUCAUUUUCCUGUUUGACUUAAUUCAAGAGUGUAAUGAUUGUCUCAUUUCACACACAUCAGUGGUUCUCAACCCAAGGCCCAUGGGCCACUUGUGGCUUAAUCAGCACACAAGUGCAGCCCAUGUGACAUCCUCAGGGCCAUACAGGUAGCAUAUAUAUUGUGCAGAUGGGGCCCAUAUAACACAGAGAGCUGCAUAUAUGGCCCACAAUGGUAAAUAGGUUGAGACUCACUGACCUACAUAGUUCUACUAGGGCAUUUAGUGUAAUGGAUGAGGUACACCCCAUGUUGUGAUAGGCAUAUGUAGGACCCAUAGAUCUUGAAAGGUGUGUUGUGGAGGGUGUUGACCAUUGUUGCAGUGGAGAUAUGUCUGCAUGGUUUGAAUCUAUUACUCUGGUAGGGGCUGGAGCUUUUGAGUUUGUGUAUCCUGAUUUGUUUGAAGCUUGUUUCUGAUGAGCUUGGAGAGAUUGUUUGAAGGCCAGAAGAGGGGGUUCAGGAAAUAUUUUUUUGAUGAUACCCCAAAUGGGUUCCAGUGGGGGCUGGUAGGUGAUAACUAGAGGUGUGUGGUCAGAGGGGUUUUUAUUUAUUGAAGCAGGUUCUCUCGGGAUAUAUGGAUGGCAACACCGCAUAUUUUCUAAAAGUAAAAUACUGAAAUUUUCAUUUUGUUCGUAUGCAAAACCCUAUUCAAUUUUUUAUAAAAAUAAUGACAGUGCAAAGUGUCUCAUAUUUAACAGUUUAUUAACACAAGCAGCACAAACAGGUUUCUUAUUUGCUUGGGUUUAGAAAUUAUAAAGUCAAAAUGCAACCUAACUGCUGUCAAUUGUUUUAGAAUGGCUUUUUAAUCCUUUCAUGCCAUGAUACAGAUUUGCCUUGCUCAUCCAUUGCCAGCAAUGGACACACUAAAUGUGCUGGUGCAAAGGAGUUAGUUGUUGAUACAAACUCUCAUCUGGGCUUUUUGGUUAACUUGUUUUCAUUACCUGUUCUUUGGUACAGGUAUUAGUAGAGAUAGGUAAAAUGCACAAACAUUUUCAUAAUAAAAUGUACAGUUCAGCUAAUAAAAACACAUGUACAUGUUUAUAUCACAUAAAAAGCAUGAAAAAUUCUGCCAAUAAAAUCCUCUACCACAUCAGUGCAAAAGCUAUUGGCCUUCUAAGGCGACAUAAAUGUACUCCUCUAAUAUAAAUAUUCAUUGCCUGCCUUACUCUAAUUAGCAUUCCUCAUCUGCAACAUUAACACACUUGCAAGAAAUUUUAUUCUGUGCUGCAUUCAUGAAAGCAUGCUGAGUACUCAUUGUACUUCUGGAGAGGCAAUUACUGAAGAUUUGGAAUUGCUGUCCUAAGCCCAUAUCUUAAGAUGUGGUUUUGCUACAGCUCAAGCACUUUAUUUACUAAGGUCAUUUAAAAAAAACCAAUCUAAUAUUAUUAUUUUACUAACACCAUUUUGCAUAUAAUCAUUGAAGCUAAUAAAAACAACUUAAAAAAAUACGAAUAUUUUGCUACAAAUCUUCAAAAUCAAAACUAAGGUUUGCACAGAACAAGUAAAUAUGAAAACACUUUCACAUCUUAAUCUUUGCAUGACUUUAGAGCAUUUGUUCAGCGCAGCCAUAUAGUAUUCAGUUGUGUCUGGUUUUUUAUGCUUGUGUCCAUUUUUAGCACUUCUCUAAUUGCCAUGGUAGCAUAAGUGGAUGGAGGAAGAGAGAAUUCCAUCUUCAAGGCCUUGAAUUUACCUUCUAUUACAUAAGAAAGAAGAGAUUAACUGGCACAUAUAGUAUACCUCCUCUGGGCAUUAUUUAAAUUGGGCUGAAGGGCUCACACAAUUUAAGAAAU